AUUGAACGCUGGCGGCAUGCCUUACACAUGCAAGUCGAACGGGAGCACGGGGGCUUGCACCUGGUGGCGAGUGGCGAACGGGUGAGUAAUACAUCGGAACAUGUCCUGUAGUGGGGGAGAGCCCGGCGAAAGCCGGAUUAAUACCGCAUACGAUCUACGGAGGAAAGCGGGGGACCUUCGGGCCUCGCCCUCCAGGGUUGGCAGAUGGCUGAUUAGCUAGUUGGUGGGGGAAAGGCCUACCAAGGCGACGAUCAGUAGCUGGUCUGAGAGGACGACCAGCCACACUGGGACUGAGACACGGCCCAGACUCCUACGGGAGGCAGCAGUGGGGAAUUUUGGACAAUGGGCGAAAGCCUGAUCCAGCAAUGCCGCGUGUGUGAAGAAGGCCUUCGGGUUGUAAAGCACUUUUGUCCGGAAAGAAAUCCUUGGCCCUAAUACGGUCGGGGGAUGACGGUACCGGAAGAAUAAGCACCGGCUAACUACGUG
Molecule: ribosomal RNA, 486 nt
Filed under: uncultured bacterium
Lineage: Bacteria
Description: partial 16S ribosomal RNA
Rfam family: Bacterial small subunit ribosomal RNA
Source: RNAcentral